Molecule: ribosomal RNA, 468 nt
Filed under: uncultured bacterium
Lineage: Bacteria
Description: partial 16S ribosomal RNA
Rfam family: Bacterial small subunit ribosomal RNA
Source: RNAcentral
GACGAACGCUGGCGGCGUGCUUAACACAUGCAAGUCGAACGGAAAGGCCCUGCUUUUGUGGGGUGCUCGAGUGGCGAACGGGUGAGUAACACGUGAGUAACCUGCCCUUGACUUUGGGAUAACUUCAGGAAACUGGGGCUAAUACCGGAUAGGAGCUCCUGCUGCAUGGUGGGGGUUGGAAAGUUUCGGCGGUUGGGGAUGGACUCGCGGCUUAUCAGCUUGCUGGUGGGGUAGUGGCUUAACAAGGCUUUGCCGGGUAGCCGGCCUGAGAGGGUGACCGGCCACAUCAGGACUGGGAUACGGCCCAGACUCCUACGGGAGGCAGCAGUGGAGAAUAUUACACAAUGGGCGGAAGCCUGAUGCAGCAACGCCGCGUGCGGGAUGACGGCCUUCGGGUUAUAAACCGCUUUCGCCUGUGACGAAGCGUGAGUGACGGUAAUGGGUAAAGAAGCACCGGCUAACUACGUG